Molecule: long non-coding RNA, 2953 nt
Organism: Felis catus (domestic cat)
Lineage: Eukaryota; Metazoa; Chordata; Mammalia; Carnivora; Felidae
Exons: 6
Source: RefSeq, a predicted model, not a curated record
GCUGAGGACCACUGGCAGGAAGACCAGGCCGUGCAACAGGCCCAGCAGGGUGAUGAGGAGGUUGAGGCGGAAGAAGAAGAUCUGGAUGAGCUGCGCCUUGGCCAGGCCCAGGACGAGGAUGCCCGGCAGGUUGAUGAGGGACACGGCGUUGUAGCUGAUGCCCCACAGGGCCAUGAAGCCCACGGUGUCCACGAGGAUCAUGAUGAUGGAGAACAGGUUGAGGAGGCCGGAGCGCAGGUCCAUGCCCAGCAGCAGGCAGCAGACAGCGAACGUGGGCAGCAGGCACAUGGCAAGCAUGAAGAGGCCUUCGGGGACCACCGUCAGAGGGAAGAUCCAGAAAGGGAGACAAAACCCUGCAAGUAGUUCACCUGACAGGGCUGUGCUGUGGGUGACCCCUGGGCAGGUGCAAUAGCCAUUCGCUUAACCAGGUCCCAAAUCCACAGAGGUGCUAUACGCUGCCAGUCCACUGCCAGAAAGUCAGAGCGAAGGCUUCAUCAAGGCCAUGGCCACACUUGGGGACCGUCCCCCGCCAGCACCCACCCCAGGCUUACCCUUUGGGACACUUGAUGUUGGGUGGGUCCUCCAGGAACCAGGGCAGGUAUUUGUGGAACUGGUCCACUGAUGGCCGGACGGGGCCCAGAGUGAAGUUCACACAGCUCUUCAAGCAGGCCAGGGAGUCUGCAAAGAGAGCGGGGGCUCUGGGCAGAGGUGUCACCCCCCCUCUGGCUCCAUUCCCACCAAGGUCCCCACAUACUUCCACCACCCAACAGCCAUGUAACACAUGUGGUCCGGAGGGGUCUGCCCUUGUCUCUGUAGGACAGGGCUGUGGAAACUGCUGGCAGCUGUAGGCAGGUGAGGAAGAGAUGUGCAGGGCAAAGAAACAACUCCCUUGGGCCUCCCCACUUCCCCUACAAGCGCAGCUGCUCUGGGACCAGAGCCACAUGCUAACCUGGCCCUCCACCACCCACCACCCUCGAGUGUUGGUGUGCCCAGAGAUCACCACUCAGGGGGCGCCUGCACAGUGGGGCGUGGUCACCCACACGUGUGCUCUGAGCCCACACCCCCACCCCAAUCGACCCUGCAAGUGGGCCUCGCCAGUCCACUCCUCUCUUGCCUCAGUUUCCCCAAGCUGUGUUGGGUAGGCCAUGAGCCCCCAGAGGCCCUGCACUCACUAACAGUCGAGGGGCAGAAUUUGUCUUUGUUGGCACCAAAGGCAUACAGGCGGCAGCAAGAGGACGGGGUCAGCCAGUCAAUGAAGUCAUCCACCCAGGAAGAGGCAGGGAUGGCCAGGAGAAGCUGUCGCAUCCUGCGCUCGAGCAAAUGGCAUUCAUUCCCGCCUCGCUGGAGAAGUUGUAGCCUCCAGUGGUGACGAAGUAGACUGGAGCCCCCACCUCAAAGUAGCGGUUCAGAAAGAGGAAAUAGUCGAGCAGCACAGCCCACAGGCGUGUGCACGUGGAGACAGGCGGUGUGUCAGGCACCUGCAUGGCCUGUUCCUUUCUCCCAAAACCUCUGAGCGCUGGAAGAGAAGACGGAGUACGAGAAGCCAGGAGUCCACCCCCGCCCCCAACCUAGACACAACUGCACAACCCGUCUGAUGGGGUCUGCAGCCCUGGGGGCAGUUGAGGGCUCGCAGCUUCCAGGGAAAGGCCUGGAUGGUGAACUGUGCUUCGUGUCAACACCUUCAGCUCCCAGCACAUGCAGGUGUCCCAGGGGCAGUUUGUAUACCGCUUGCAGAGUCCAGCGUGGGACAUAAGGACCCCACACUCUAUACAUGGCGGAUUUGCGUUCUGAUUGCCGGUCACUGAGUUUCUGAUCUCGGUGGUACAGAGUCAGGCUGUACCGUGGUCUCCCCCGCCUCCAGCUGGCCUGACUGCCAGGAUAUUUAAAUGGCAAGUGACUGGCUUAUUUUCCGCUUCAUGUUUCCCCUUUUUCUCCUUUGGGGAGCCAGCCAUUUAAGGAAUAGGACAUUCAAACGCAAAUACCGAAGUCACCGCACAUUACCAGGGAAAGGCACAGGCUCAUCAGACUUUAAUUUUAUACCACAGGCUAAUCUCCCGGACACAGACACAGCAACGUCACAUUUGGGGAAAAAAAAAAAAAAAGCAAACCUUAGAGAAGGGAGGAGAAUCUGAUCUUCAGAGUUACCAUAUGAUACAACUCAACUGUGUGUUUUUCAACAACAACAAAAAUCGCAAGACACACAAAGAAUCAAAGUGUGGCCCAUACCUAGGAACAAAAACUAAUCAACAGAUGAUCUUGAGAAAGAACAGACAGAAUCAGACAGAAACUUUAAAACAUCUGUCUUGGGAAUGCUUACAGAGCUAAAAUAAGAUGCGGACAAAGUCAAGAAAAGAAAGUAUGGACAAAGUGGAAAGACCACCAAAUAGAAGACAUAAAACGGAGACCAGGAACAAAUUCCAGAGCUGAAGAGAAGGAGAAAUACAGGAAAAAUUCUGUUCAUAGAUGACAUGAUGGUAUGUAUAUAAAACUAACAUUCCACCAAAAAACCCCUUAAAACUGGUAAAGAAAUUCAGCAAAGUGGCAAGUUACGAGAUCAACACGCAAGAAUCAGUUUCAUUUCUAUACGCAAACAAUGAAUAACCCAAAAAGGAAGCCAAGGGAAGUGCAGUUAUAAGAGCAUAAAGCGAAUAAAAUACUUAGGGAUUAACUUUACUGAGGGUGUGAAAGACCCGCAUGCUGACAGCCAUGCCAUAUCUCAGAAAGAAAUUAAGACACAAAUAAAUGGGGAGAUGCCUGUGCCCACAAGCUGGGAGGAUGAAUAUUAUCCAGGCCACCAAGGAGCCUCCAGCUUCAUUCAGUGUGAUGCUAUCAAGAUCCCAAUGACGUUUCUUACAGAAAUAGAAAAAUUCAUCUUAAAAUUCGUAAAGGACUCCAAAGAGCCAAAAUAAUCUUUAAAAAGAAUAAAAGUUGGAGGAUUCACAUUUCCUGAUCU